GUGCGAGACCGAUAGCGAACAAGUACCGUGAGGGAAAGAUGAAAAGAACUUUGAAAAGAGAGUUAAAGAGUACCUGAAACUGCUGAAAGGGAAGCGAAUCGUAUCCAGUGUCUAUAAUCUGCGACAUAUUUCAUUGGCGGCAGUGUGCGUGCUUUUGCGUCGGAAGCGGCUUUUGUUGCUCUGUGCUUUUGCUGUGCGCGCUGUUGCUGUUGCCCUGUGUUGCGGUGGGACGUCAGAGUCAGUUCGUAUGCUGCGGGAAAUGGCCGCCGAGGAGGUAGGUCGCUUCGGUGGCUGUUAUAUCUUGGUGGUUUGUUGUCGUGGUUGGGACUGAGGUGCCUACAAUGUGCUUUUGAGUGUUCCGGGUUCUCAUUUGGUGGACUGUUUGGAUAGCUUGCUAUGCUUGUGGUUUUUUCAUCGAGUGAUUGAGUCUGGUGGUAACUUGUUGCUGUUCGGGACUUUGAA
RNAcentral lists this ribosomal RNA (462 nucleotides) under uncultured rhizosphere oomycete. Its description in RNAcentral is "eukaryotic LSU rRNA". It matches the Rfam family "Eukaryotic large subunit ribosomal RNA", at positions 326 to 630 of the family's 3401-position model. Lineage: Eukaryota; Oomycota. The record is from RNAcentral.